CGUAGACCCGAAACCAGGUGAUCUACCCUUGGUCAGGUUGAAGUUCAGGUAACACUGAAUGGAGGACCGAACCGACUUACGUUGAAAAGUGAGCGGAUGAACUGAGGGUAGCGGAGAAAUUCCAAUCGAACCUGGAGAUAGCUGGUUCUCUCCGAAAUAGCUUUAGGGCUAGCCUCAAGUGAUGAUUAUUGGAGGUAGAGCACUGUUUGGACGAGGGGCCCCUCGCGGGUUACCGAAUUCAGACAAACUCCGAAUGCCAAUUAAUUUAACUUGGGAGUCAGAACAUGGGUGAUAAGGUCCGUGUUCGAAAGGGAAACAGCCCAGACCACCAGCUAAGGUCCCAAAAUAUAUGUUAAGUGGAAAAGGAUGU
Molecule: ribosomal RNA, 370 nt
Filed under: Staphylococcus aureus
Lineage: Bacteria; Bacillati; Bacillota; Bacilli; Caryophanales; Staphylococcaceae
Description: partial 23S ribosomal RNA
Rfam family: Bacterial large subunit ribosomal RNA
Source: RNAcentral